UCGCCCUGGUUUUACAAAAACAUCGCCUCUUGAUUAAACAUAAGAGGUCCAGCCUGCCCAGUGACAUAGUUUAACGGCCGCGGUACCCUAACCGUGCAAAGGUAGCAUAAUCACUUGUUCUUUAAAUAGGGACUCGUAUCAACGGCAUCACGAGGGCUAUACUGUCUCCUUUCUCCAAUCAAUGAAACUGAUCUCCCCGUGAAGAAGCGGGGAUUAACCUAUAAGACGAGAAGACCCCAUGGAGCUUCAAACUCAACAUAUACCUCUACGCACUUAAACCACUUUAGCCCAAGAGACCUCUAUGUUAGUUUUGGGUUGGGGGGACCGCGGAGUAAAAAUUAACCUCCACGACAAACGGGCUUUAUGCCCUUAUCCACGAACCACAGCUCUAAGAAUCAAUAAACUGAUGUUUAUGACCCGAUUAUUCGAUCAACGAACCAAGUUACCCUGGGGAUAACAGCGCAAUCUACUUCAAGAGCCCCUAUCGACAAGUAGGUUUACGACCUCGAUGUUGGAUCAGGGUAUCCCAGUGGUGCAGCCGCUACUAAUGGUUCGUUUGUUCAACGAUUAAAACCCUACGUGAUCUGAUUCCCAAACCGGA
Molecule: ribosomal RNA, 601 nt
Filed under: Pelophylax nigromaculatus (dark-spotted frog)
Lineage: Eukaryota; Metazoa; Chordata; Amphibia; Anura; Ranidae
Description: partial large subunit ribosomal RNA
Rfam family: Bacterial large subunit ribosomal RNA
Source: RNAcentral